GCUGAACUUAAGCAUAUCAAUAAGCGGAGGAAAAGAAACCAACAGGGAUUGCCUCAGUAACGGCGAGUGAAGCGGCAACAGCUCAAAUUUGAAAUCUGGCUCUUUCAGAGUCCGAGUUGUAAUUUGUAGAGGAUGCUUCGGGUCCGGCUCCGGUCUAAGUCCCUUGGAACAGGGUGUCAUAGAGGGUGAGAAUCCCGUACGUGACCGGCGACCACGCCCAUGUGAAGCUCCUUCGACGAGUCGAGUUGUUUGGGAAUGCAGCUCAAAACGGGUGGUAAAUUUCAUCUAAAGCUAAACAUUGGCCAGAGACCGAUAGCGCACAAGUAGAGUGAUCGAAAGAUGAAAAGCACUUUGGAAAGAGAGUUAAACAGUACGUGAAAUUGUUGAAAGGGAAGCGCUUGCAACCAGACUUGCCCGUGGGCGAUCAGCCGGUAUUUUUACCGGUGCACUCGCCCGUGGUCAGGCCAGCAUCGGUUUGGGCGGUUGGAUAAAGACCCCCGGAACGUAGCUCCUCUCGGGGAGUGUUAUAGCCGGGGGUGCAAUGCGGCCCGCCCGGACCGAGGACCGCGCUUCGGCUAGGAUGCUGGCGUAAUGGUUGCAAGCGACCCGUCUUGAAACACGGA
RNAcentral lists this ribosomal RNA (623 nucleotides) under Glypholecia sp. RNAcentral describes it as "partial large subunit ribosomal RNA". It matches the Rfam family "Eukaryotic large subunit ribosomal RNA", at positions 27 to 665 of the family's 3401-position model. Lineage: Eukaryota; Fungi; Ascomycota; Lecanoromycetes; Acarosporales; Acarosporaceae. The record is from RNAcentral.